AGACCUUAACCUGCUAAAUAGCCCGGCUGGCUUCUGCAAGUCGUUGGCUUCUUAGAGGGACUAUCGGCUCAAGCCGAUGGAAGUUUGAGGCAAUAACAGGUUAACCUUCACAGGCCUGUUGAAGUGGGCCUCACUAAAGAUAACCGCUAGUCCAACAUCUUAAUCUCUUUUGGGGAAGCUCCCCUACUGUCGGGAUGAGACAAUUCGUACGAAUUGUGAUGUGGGCAACACUACCUGAUACAGGGAAAGCC
Molecule: ribosomal RNA, 251 nt
Filed under: Pleosporales sp.
Lineage: Eukaryota; Fungi; Ascomycota; Dothideomycetes; Pleosporales
Description: partial small subunit ribosomal RNA
Source: RNAcentral